Molecule: long non-coding RNA, 584 nt
Organism: Cynoglossus semilaevis (tongue sole)
Lineage: Eukaryota; Metazoa; Chordata; Actinopteri; Pleuronectiformes; Cynoglossidae
Exons: 2
Source: RefSeq, a predicted model, not a curated record
AAAUAUACUUCAUGAUUUAUUUAAAACCUUUAUUUAAAGGACAAAAAACCCAAAGUGAUUUCACUGAUAAUCUUCACAAAGGGACACCUGACACACAGUUCCAAGGGAGGUUCCUCAAUUAGCAGGUUAUCUGGUAACAGGCUACGGUAUCGCGAUGAGUAUGAAAGGUAUGAAAGGAGCUUUUAUGAAAGGAAUAAAGACAGCGCGGCCCAACAGGGAUGUGCUGUCGCUUCUUAGGUCCGUGUUGAACUUUACAGACGACGCCAAAGAACAAAGAGCUGUCAUCAGCUACGGUUAAUGUUGUGACAGGACACGGCGAAACAAGAGAGGCAUCAGGGUAAAGGUUAAGGUCAAAGGUCACUGCUGGAUGCAAGUGAUCGUCAAGCCCGAAGGAAGAACUGCUGUAGCGUUGGACAGAGACCAAGAAAACAAGAUCCCUGAGACCAAGUCAUCCACUGGAGUGUGACACAGAAUCUGGACGUACUCUGAUUGGACAGGACGAGGGAGAGCUUUGUUGGCUCAGUCCACUAACACCAAACCACCUGCAGCUGCUCUCCUAUAAUAAAACAUUCAUUACAUCCUUA